UGAGGAACAUGACCUUCGGCGGGGGAUAGCCGGCCCAACGGCCGGGUAAUACCGCGUACGACCACAUGGGGACAUCCCUGAGUGGUGAAAGCAGCAAUGCGCCGAUGGAGUGCCUCGCGGCCUAUCAGCUAGUUGGUGAGGUAACGGCUCACCAAGGCGAUGGACGGGUAGCCGGCCUGGAGGAGGGUCGACCCGGCCACACGUGGGACUGAGACACGGCCCAGACCUCCGUACGGGAGCA
Molecule: ribosomal RNA, 241 nt
Filed under: uncultured bacterium
Lineage: Bacteria
Description: partial 16S ribosomal RNA
Rfam family: Bacterial small subunit ribosomal RNA
Source: RNAcentral